RNAcentral lists this ribosomal RNA (809 nucleotides) under uncultured Gammaproteobacteria bacterium. Its description in RNAcentral is "bacterial SSU rRNA". It matches the Rfam family "Bacterial small subunit ribosomal RNA", at positions 33 to 837 of the family's 1533-position model. The record is from RNAcentral. Lineage: Bacteria; Pseudomonadati; Pseudomonadota; Gammaproteobacteria.
ACGCUGGCGGUAGGCUUAACACAUGCAAGUCGUGCGAGAAAGUAUCUUCGGAUAUGAGUAGAGCGGCGGACGGGUGAGUAACGCGUAGGAAUCUACCUAGUAGAAGGGGAUAGCCCGGGGAAACCCGGAUUAAUACCGUAUACCUCCUUCGGGAGAAAGAAGGCCUCUCUUUGAAGCUUUCGCUACUAGAUGAGCCUGCGUAAGAUUAGCUAGUUGGUGAGGUAAUGGCUCACCAAGGCUACGAUCUUUAGCUGGUCUGAGAGGACGAUCAGCCACAUUGGGACUGAGACACGGCCCAGACUCCUACGGGAGGCAGCAGUGGGGAAUAUUGGACAAUGGGCGCAAGCCUGAUCCAGCCAUACCGCGUGUGUGAAGAAGGCCUUCGGGUUGUAAAGCACUUUAAGCAGGGAGAAAAAGUUAUAGGUUAAUACCCUAUGACCUUGAUGUUACCUGCAGAAUAAGCACCGGCUAAUUCCGUGCCAGCAGCCGCGGUAAUACGGAAGGUGCAAGCGUUAAUCGGAAUUACUGGGCGUAAAGCGCGCGUAGGUGGUUUGUUAAGUUGGAUGUGAAAGCCCUGGGCUCAACCUAGGAACUGCAUCCAAAACUAACUCACUAGAGUACGAUAGAGGGAGGUAGAAUUCAUAGUGUAGCGGUGGAAUGCGUAGAUAUUAUGAAGAAUACCAGUGGCGAAGGCGGCCUCCUGGAUCUGUACUGACACUGAGGUGCGAAAGCGUGGGUAGCGAACAGGAUUAGAUACCCUGGUAGUCCACGCCGUAAACGAUGACAACUAGCUGUUGGGAGACUAUGUC